UACAGAGGUCUCAAGCGUUGUUCGGAUUCAUUGGGCGUAAAGGGUGCGUAGGUGGCGGGGUAAGUCAGGUGUGAAAUUUCGGAGCUUAACUCCGAAACUGCAUUUGAUACUGCCUUGCUUGAGGACUGGAGAGGAGACUGGAAUUCACGGUGUAGCAGUGAAAUGCGUAGAGAUCGUGAGGAAGACCAGUGGCGAAGGCGGCAUCCUGGACCAUGACUGACGCUGAGGAGCGAAAGCCAGGGGAGCAAACGGG
This 253-nucleotide ribosomal RNA is filed under the name uncultured bacterium. Its description in RNAcentral is "partial 16S ribosomal RNA". It matches the Rfam family "Bacterial small subunit ribosomal RNA", at positions 524 to 776 of the family's 1533-position model. The record is from RNAcentral.